Molecule: long non-coding RNA, 212 nt
Filed under: Lathyrus oleraceus (garden pea)
Lineage: Eukaryota; Viridiplantae; Streptophyta; Magnoliopsida; Fabales; Fabaceae
Description: Pisum sativum (pea) long non-coding RNA (PSAT_LNC041578)
Source: RNAcentral
UUCUUUUAUUUUUCAAUGCCCCUUGGCAAUCAUUAUUUCACCUGACCGUUUGAUCUCUUUUUUUUCAACAUCUUGAAUAUAGGUUCGCACGUGGUUGUUAGAUGAGAUGUGAACCAUGACAGGUAGUUCAAUCUUUCUAAGAAACCACGAACCUCUCUUUUUCUUUCUCGGUUCAGGCAUUUCUCUUAUUGUUCCUUUGUUUUUUUUUUUUU